UGAAUACGAGAUGCUACGGCGUCGAAGCAGUCUAUGUCAGACUUCCAAGAAAAGCUUGCACUGUCAAAAACAAAUAAUGCCUGUACCAUAACCGACACAGGUGGGUAGGUAGAGUAUACUAAGGGGCGCGAGAUAACUCUCUCUAAGGAACUCGGCAAAAUGACUCCGUAACUUCGGGAGAAGGAGUGCCUUAUUUUUAAGGUUGCAAUAACAAGAUCCAAGCAACUGUUUACCAAAAACACAGGUCUCCGCGAAGUCGUAAGACGAUGUAUGGGGGCUGACGCCUGCCCAGUGCCAGAAGGUUAAAGAAGUUGGUUAGCAUUCGCGAAGCUGAUAACUGAAGCCCUGGUGAACGGCGGCCGUAACUAUAACGGUCCUAAGGUAGCGAAAUUCCUUGUCGGGUAAGUUCCGACCCGCACGAAAGGCGUAAUGAUUUGGAUACUGUCUCGGAGAGGGGCUCGGUGAAAUAGACUUGUCUGUGAAGAUGCGGACUACCUGCACCUGGACAGAAAGACCCUAUGAAGCUUUACUGUAACUUGAAAUUGAAAUUGGACUUUAUUUGCGCAGUAUAGGUGGGAGGCCUUGAGAAGAAUCUUGGGGGAUUCUUGGAGCCAUCAGUGAGAUACCACUCUUGUAAUGUUAGAUUUCUGACUUUGUAUCAUUCUCUGGUCAAAGAACAGUUUCAGGCGGGCAGUUUGACUGGGGCGGUCGCCUCCCAAACGGUAACGGAGGCGCACAAAGGUUUCCUCUGAACGGGUAGAAAUCGUAUCUAGAGUGUAAAGGCAUAAGGAAGCUUGACUGUGAGACCUACAAGUCGAGCAGGGACGAAAGUCGGUCUUAGUGAUCUGACGGUGCUGAGUGGAAAGGCCGUCACUCAACGGAUAAAAGUUACUCUAGGAUAACAGGCUGAUCUCCCCCAAGAGUUCACAUCGACGGGGAGGUUUGGCACCUCGAUGUCGGCUCAUCGCAUCCUGGGGCGGUAGUACGUCCCAAGGGUUGGGCUGUUCGCCCAUGAAAGCGGUACGCGAGCUGGGUUCAGAACGUCGUGAGACAGUUCGGUCCAUAUCCGGUGUAGGCGUUAGAAUAUUGAGAGGAGCCUUCUCUAGUACGAGAGGACCGAGGAGGACAUACCUCUGGUGUACCAGUUAUCGUGCCAACGGUAAACGCUGGGUAGCUAUGUAUGGAGUGGAUAACCGCUGAAAGCAUCUAAGUGGGAAGCCCACCUCAAGAUAAGUAUUCUCAUC
Molecule: ribosomal RNA, 1244 nt
Filed under: metagenome
Description: bacterial LSU rRNA
Rfam family: Bacterial large subunit ribosomal RNA
Source: RNAcentral